GCACAUAACAGGACAUGUAAAAGACUGUGGUUGAAGAAAACUGUCUAAAAGUAGAGCUUUGGAACAUCUUGCAUCUCUGCUGCUGUUAAGGAGGAAAUAAAUAAUGCACCACGGAUUGAAGCUGUGUUCAGUAUUUGUUGAAAGCACACAUCUCAUCUAAUUAAAACUUUCACCACACAAGUAGUGCUGUGUGCAUUGCAGAUUAAAGGUUUAACACAACUUUAAAAGAAGCAGCUAUUCUCUUCACUUGUUAUUGGACUUGAAACUCCUUUGACCUCGGAAACUGAAGAUGAGGUUGCCAUGGGAACUGCUGGUACUGCAAUCAUUCAUGUUGUGCCUUGCAG
Molecule: long non-coding RNA, 344 nt
Filed under: Sus scrofa (pig)
Lineage: Eukaryota; Metazoa; Chordata; Mammalia; Artiodactyla; Suidae
Description: lncRNA (ENSSSCG00050049479.1, ENSSSCG00065001491.1)
Source: RNAcentral